GCAUGUGCAAACUAUUUAUAGACAUCAAGAGCAAUUUGUAUGCACUACCAAGCAUUUCUCAGGUAUUCGAUGGGAUAGGCGAAAAUGUGGUUAAUCCCGGAGAAACAUCAAUUGUAACUGCAGAUCAGCCACUUUUGGAAAUCCCUAAUCAAAUUCAGUGGGAAUGGCCUGAUUUGUAAGGAAAAGAUAAGUGUAUCGUAAUGUUUGGUGGAUUGCACAUUGAAAUGACUUGUUAUUAAACUCUGGGU
RNAcentral lists this long non-coding RNA (248 nucleotides) under Mytilus galloprovincialis (Mediterranean mussel). Lineage: Eukaryota; Metazoa; Mollusca; Bivalvia; Mytilida; Mytilidae. The record is from RNAcentral.